RNAcentral lists this ribosomal RNA (848 nucleotides) under Streptomyces vinaceusdrappus. RNAcentral describes it as "bacterial SSU rRNA". It matches the Rfam family "Bacterial small subunit ribosomal RNA", at positions 1 to 865 of the family's 1533-position model. Lineage: Bacteria; Bacillati; Actinomycetota; Actinomycetes; Kitasatosporales; Streptomycetaceae. The record is from RNAcentral.
UUGGAGAGUUUGAUCCUGGCUCAGGACGAACGCUGGCGGCGUGCUUAACACAUGCAAGUCAAACGAUGAACCACUUCGGUGGGGAUUAGUGGCGAACGGGUGAGUAACACGUGGGCAAUCUGCCCUGCACUCUGGGACAAGCCCUGGAAACGGGGUCUAAUACCGGAUACUGAUCCUCGCAGGCAUCUGCGAGGUUCGAAAGCUCCCGGCGGUGCAGGAUGAGCCCGCGGCCUAUCAGCUAGUUGGUGAGGUAACGGCUCACCAAGGCGAACGACGGGUAGCCGGCCUGAGAGGGCGACCGGCCACACUGGGACUGAGACACGGCCCAGACUCCCUACGGGAGGCAGCAGUGGGGAAUAUUGCACAAUGGGCGAAAGCCUGAUGCAGCGACGCCGCGUUGAGGGAUGACGGCCUUCGGGUUGUAAACCUCUUUCAGCAGGGAAGAAGCGAAAGUGACGGUACCUGCAGAAGAAGCGCCGGCUAACUACGUGCCAGCAGCCGCGGUAAUAACGUAGGGCGCAAGCGUUGUCCGGAAUUAUUGGGCGUAAAGAGCUCGUAGGCGGCUUGUCACGUCGGUUGUGAAAGCCCGGGGCUUAACCCCGGGUCUGCAGUCGAUACGGGCAGGCUAGAGUUCGGUAGGGGAGAUCGGAAUUCCUGGUGUAGCGGUGAAAUGCGCAGAUAUCAGGAGGAACACCGGUGGCGAAGGCGGAUCUCUGGGCCGAUACUGACGCUGAGGAGCGAAAGCGUGGGGAGCGAACAGGAUUAGAUACCCUGGUAGUCCACGCCGUAAACGGUGGGCCUGUGUGGGCAACAUUCCACGUUGUCCGUGCCGCAGCUAACGCAUUAAG